AAUUAUUUAAUAAUUAAAAGAAUAUUGCUUACAAAAAUUAUAAAAGGUACAAAAGGUGCUAGUGACUAUCAUAUUUCAUGUGCAAAAGCCUUUUGGCAGUUACGAAUCUACCCACACUAACAUGGUGAUACCAUGUUAAUAAUUAUAACAAUAGUAGCAUGAUGAGAGUAUUACGAGCACAAAAUUUAAUUUAUUGAGGAAAUACUGAUAAAGAAUAACAGUGUAGAAGAAAAAUAGAAUGUAAACAAAGCAAAGCAAAUCUUUGCACAAUUUUAAGGGUCAUUGACAUUUGGGAAGAUUACUUUUCUUUAUAGCACAUUAUAUAUUAUAUGUGUAAAAUAUAAACAUGCUGUUAAGCAAUGUUAUUUUUUAAAGUUUGCCUUGUUUCUCUUGUGUUUUCCAUAUUCUUUUUCCAAAAAGCAGUAUCUAAAUCUGAAAUGACUAGAGCAUGCUUCUUAUACUCCUUCUGUAUUUACAUCUUCUUUUGUCUCAAGGUCUUACUCCUCCAGAAGAAAAAGGGAAAACCGAACCUGAAUGUCCCCUAAAAGUGAAGAAAUGUCCACACUUCUAUGUGCAGAUUGUGGGACUCAUGAGGAAUUCUGGAUUGCUGCUAUGUCAUGCACAAUUAGUGGAGAACUAAGGUUUGGAAUAUCGUCUUUCUCAUGCCCUAGAAAAAACUCAAUGAAGAAAGGUAAGUGAAAUAUUUUAUACAUACAUAAUAUAUAAAUGUACAAUAA
Molecule: long non-coding RNA, 737 nt
Organism: Pan paniscus (pygmy chimpanzee)
Lineage: Eukaryota; Metazoa; Chordata; Mammalia; Primates; Hominidae
Source: Ensembl